CCUACGGGGGGCAGCAGUGAGGAAUAUUGGUCAAUGGACGAGAGUCUGAACCAGCCAAGUAGCGUGAAGGAUGACUGCCCUAGGGGUUGUAAACUUCUUUUAUAUGGGAAUAAAAUGUUCCACGUGUGGGAUUUUGUAUGUACCAUAUGAAUAAGGAUAGGCUAACUCAGUGCCAGCAGCCGCGGUAAUACGGUGGAUCCGAGCGUUAUCCGGAUUUAUUGGGUUUAAAGGGAGCGUAGGUGGAUUGUUAAGUCAGUUGUGAAAGUUUGCGGCUCAACCGUAAAAUUGCAGUUGAAACUGGCAGUCUUGAGUACAGUAGAGGUGGGCGGAAUUCGUGGUGUAGCGGGGAAAUGCUUAGAUAGCACGAAGAACUCCGAUUGCGAAGGCAGUUCACUGGACUGCAACUGACACUGAGGCUCGAAAGUGUGGGUAUCAAACAGGAUUAGAUACCCUAGUAGUC
This 460-nucleotide ribosomal RNA is filed under the name uncultured bacterium. RNAcentral's name for it is "partial 16S ribosomal RNA". It matches the Rfam family "Bacterial small subunit ribosomal RNA", at positions 338 to 795 of the family's 1533-position model. The record is from RNAcentral.